Molecule: unclassified non-coding RNA, 423 nt
Filed under: Hevea brasiliensis (rubber tree)
Lineage: Eukaryota; Viridiplantae; Streptophyta; Magnoliopsida; Malpighiales; Euphorbiaceae
Source: RNAcentral
GGAGUCAAGUCCUUCCUACUCAAAAACCAGAGAAGGUUCAUCAUCCGGCUGUGACUCAACAACACCCCUUUUUCUCAUUGAUAAACAACAUCCCCUUUCGAAGGAACAAAUAAGGGAAACACGCACCAGAAGACAAUCAAAAUGACUCAGAUUACUCACUUGCAGCUUCAGAUUGUAGGCUUAUCACUCUGGCAGCAAACCUAAUAUCAUCUGUAGCUAGUAAUCACAAUAGCGUAUUUUUGGAUUCCCCAAAACCACAUUGUUGAUGAAAAGAGCUCAACAAUCCAGAACUGAAAUAGUUUGUAAAGUAGAACCCAAACUUCCAGUACUCUACUUGACAAAUUUGUGCAGUAUGAUCAAGGCACUAGGGCUGGUGUAGUCGGGCUCAGCCAGAGCCAUCAAAAGGAAUAUACUGCAACAUCA